Molecule: ribosomal RNA, 85 nt
Filed under: uncultured bacterium
Lineage: Bacteria
Description: partial 16S ribosomal RNA
Rfam family: Bacterial small subunit ribosomal RNA
Source: RNAcentral
UGAUGAAGGCCUUCGGGUUGUAAAGCUCUUUCGCCUACGACGAUAAUGACGGUAGUAGGAGAAGAAGCCCCGGCUAACUUCGUGC